RNAcentral lists this unclassified non-coding RNA (392 nucleotides) under soil metagenome. RNAcentral describes it as "partial contains 5.8S ribosomal RNA, internal transcribed spacer 2, and large subunit ribosomal RNA". The stretch from base 1 to 122 matches the Rfam family "5.8S ribosomal RNA", at positions 35 to 154 of the family's 154-position model. The record is from RNAcentral.
GAUGAAGAACGUAGCGAAAUGCGAUACUUGGUGUGAAUUGCAGAAUCCCGUGAACCAUCGAGUCUUUGAACGCAAGUUGCGCCCGAAGCCAUUAGGCCGAGGGCACGCCUGCCUGGGCGUCACACGUCGUUGCCCCCCCCAUCUACUCCUUCGGGAUUGCGGGGGGCGGCUGAUGGCCUCCCGUGCGCCUCGCCGCGCGGUUGGCAUAAAUGCCAAGUCCUCGGCGAUGCACGCCACGACAAUCGGUGGUUGCGAAACCUCGGUUGCCCGUCGUGUGCGGUCGUCGCGCAUCGAGGGCUCGAAAAAAUUGCCGGGUUCCGGCUCGGCUUUCAACGCGACCCCAGGUCAGGCGGGGUUACCCGCUGAAUUUAAGCAUAUCAAUAAGCGGAGGA